Molecule: ribosomal RNA, 322 nt
Filed under: uncultured soil bacterium
Lineage: Bacteria
Description: bacterial SSU rRNA
Rfam family: Bacterial small subunit ribosomal RNA
Source: RNAcentral
AGAUUGAACGCUGGCGGCAGGCCUAACACAUGCAAGUCGAGCGCGAAAGUUCCUUCGGGAAUGAGUAGAGCGGCGGACGGGUGAGUAACGCGUAGGAAUUUGCCCAGUAGUGGGGGACAACUCGGGGAAACUCGAGCUAAUACCGCAUACGCCCCAAGGGGGAAAGCAGGGGAUCUUCGGACCUUGCGCUAUUGGAUAAGCCUGCGUCGGAUUAGCUAGUUGGUGGGGUAAGGCCUACCAAGGCAACGAUCCGUAGCUGGUCUGAGAGGAUGAUCAGCCACACUGGGACUGAGACACGGCCCAGACUCCGACGGGACGGCAG